GCCCUAGUAGCUUAGCCGCAAAGCGCCGGUCUUGUAAUCCGGAGAUCGAGGGUUAAAGCCCCUCCUAGUGCC
Molecule: transfer RNA, 72 nt
Filed under: Pseudoplatystoma reticulatum
Lineage: Eukaryota; Metazoa; Chordata; Actinopteri; Siluriformes; Pimelodidae
Description: tRNA-Thr
Rfam family: tRNA
About the family: Transfer RNA (tRNA) molecules are approximately 80 nucleotides in length.
Source: RNAcentral